RNAcentral lists this ribosomal RNA (460 nucleotides) under uncultured bacterium. RNAcentral's name for it is "partial 16S ribosomal RNA". It matches the Rfam family "Bacterial small subunit ribosomal RNA", at positions 338 to 795 of the family's 1533-position model. The record is from RNAcentral.
CCUACGGGAGGCAGCAGUGAGGAAUAUUGGUCAAUGGACGCAAGUCUGAACCAGCCAUGCCGCGUGCAGGAUGAAGGCUCUAUGAGUUGUACACUGCUUUUGUACGAGGGUAAAACCCGAUAAGUGUAUCGGGUUGACAGUAUCGUACGAAUAAGGAUCGGCUAACUCCGUGCCAGCAGCCGCGGUAAUACGGAGGAUCCGAGCGUUAUCCGGAUGUAUUGGGUUUAAAGGGUGCGUAGGCGGUUUGAUAAGUUAGAGGUGAAAUGUCGGGGCUCAACCCCGAAACUGCCUCUAAUACUGUUGGACUAGAGAAUAGUUGCGGUAGGCGGAAUGUAUGGUGUAGCGGUGAAAUGCUUAGAGAUCAUACAGAACACCGAUUGCGAAGGCAGCGUACCAAACUAUAUCUGACGUUGAGGCACGAAAGCGUGGGUAGCAAACAGGAUUAGAUACCCUGGUAGUC